UCGUCAUUGCUGCGGUUAAAAAGCUCGUAGUUGGAUCUGCGCCGCAGGACUUGGUCCACCCACUGGGUGAGAACUGAGCUCCUGGGCUAGUACUGCUGGUUUUCCCUAAGUCACCUUCAUUGGUUGCUUAGGGUGGCUAGCGAGUUUACUUUGAAAAAAUUAGAGUGCUUCAAACAAGCUAGUGCCUGAAUAGUCUUGCAUGGAAUAAUAGAAUAGGAUCUUAGUUCUAUUUUGUUGGUUUUCUGAUCUGAGAUAAUGGUUAAGAGGGACGGACGGGGGCAUUCGUAUCGCUGCGUGAGAGGUGAAAUUCUUGACCGUAGCGAGACGUCCAACUGCGAAAGCAUUUGCCAAGAAUGUCUUCAUUAAUCAAGAACGAAAGUCA
Molecule: ribosomal RNA, 382 nt
Filed under: Nematoda sp. GrilleG04
Lineage: Eukaryota; Metazoa; Nematoda
Description: SSU rRNA
Rfam family: Eukaryotic small subunit ribosomal RNA
Source: RNAcentral